AAUAGAUACCCCGGUAGUCCACGCCGUAAACGAUGGAUACUAGCUGUUGGAGGUAUCGACCCCUUCAGUAGCGAAGCUAACGCGUUAAGUAUCCCGCCUGUGGAGUACGGUCGCAAGACUAAAACAUAAAGGAAUUGACGGGGACCCGCACAAGCGGUGGAUCGUGUUCUUUAAUUCGAUGCUAAACGAAGAACCUUACCAGGGUUUGACAUCCCUUGAAUUAAUCCGAAAGGAUUGAGUGCUUUAUUGAACAAGGUGGCAGGUGAUGCAUGGCCGUCGUCAGCUCGUGUCGUGAGAUGUUUGGUUAAGUCCAUCAACGAGCGCAACCCUUGCAAGUAGUUGUAUUUUUCUACUUGGACUGCCCCGGUAACGGGGAGGAAGGAGGGGAUGAUGUCAGGUCAGUAUUUCCCUUACAUCCUGGGCUAGAAACACGAUACAAUGGCUAGUACAAUGCGCAGCGAAGCCGCGAGGUGAAGCAAAUCGCAUCAAAGCUAGUCCCAGUUCGGAUUGGAGGCUGAAACUCGCCUCCAUGAAGUCGG
RNAcentral lists this ribosomal RNA (539 nucleotides) under uncultured bacterium. RNAcentral's name for it is "bacterial SSU rRNA". It matches the Rfam family "Bacterial small subunit ribosomal RNA", at positions 777 to 1329 of the family's 1533-position model. The record is from RNAcentral.